RNAcentral lists this transfer-messenger RNA (375 nucleotides) under Chitinophaga solisilvae. RNAcentral describes it as "Standard tmRNA". It matches the Rfam family "transfer-messenger RNA". Rfam says of the family: Bacterial tmRNA, also known as 10Sa RNA or SsrA, is named for its dual tRNA and mRNA-like properties. The record is from Rfam by way of RNAcentral. Lineage: Bacteria; Pseudomonadati; Bacteroidota; Chitinophagia; Chitinophagales; Chitinophagaceae.
CGGGGUGCCUGGUUUUGACAGCAUAGAUCUUUGAUAGUGUAAGCAUGCCGUGCGUUGGAUAAUUAGCACGAUAAUCUGAAUAUUCAAACUUUAAUUGGCGAAUCUAACUACGCCAUGGCUGCCUAAUCAGAGAUUAGACACCCAUUAUAGCCGCCCGGAGUUGUCGCCUUAUGCGACUCCCGCCGCUGAAUCAUCAAACCCAUAGGGAUAGGUGCUCAUGGUUUCUGUGAGUGAGCACUGAAGCGCAAACGGAUAAGGACGAGGUUGGUUCGUUAUGCCCCUGCUGAGUUCCGACAAACCAAUGCAUAAAUAAGCAUGUAGAAAGCUUUCGGCGAUUAUGUUUGGACACGGGUUCGAUUCCCGUCACCUCCACUG